RNAcentral lists this ribosomal RNA (301 nucleotides) under uncultured bacterium. RNAcentral describes it as "partial 16S ribosomal RNA". It matches the Rfam family "Bacterial small subunit ribosomal RNA", at positions 509 to 807 of the family's 1533-position model. The record is from RNAcentral.
CAGUAGCCACGGGAAUACGGAGGGUGCAAGCGUUAUCCGGAUUUAUUGGGUUUAAAGGGUCCGUAGGCGGACUUAUAAGUCAGUGGUGAAAGCCUGUCGCUUAACGAUAGAACUGCCAUUGAUACUGUAAGUCUUGAGUAUAUUUGAGGUAGCUGGAAUAAGUAGUGUAGCGGUGAAAUGCAUAGAUAUUACUUAGAACACCAAUUGCGAAGGCAGGUUACCAAGAUAUAACUGACGCUGAGGGACGAAAGCGUGGGUAGCGAACAGGAUUAGAUACCCCUGUAGUCCCUGUCUCUUAUAC